AUUAAACGCUGGCGGCAUGCCUUACACAUGCAAGACGAACGGCAGCACGGGUGCUUGCACCUGGUGGCGAGUGGCGAACGGGUGAGUAAUACAUCGGAACGUACCUUAUCGUGGGGGAUAACGCAGCGAAAGCUGUGCUAAUACCGCAUACGCCCUGAGGGGGAAAGCGGGGGAUCGCAAGACCUCGCGCGAUUAGAGCGGCCGAUGCCUGAUUAGCUUGUUGGUGGGGUAAAAGCCCACCAAGGCGACGAUCAGUAGCUGGUCUGAGAGGACGAUCAGCCACACUGGGACUGAGACACGGCCCAGACUCCUACGGGAGGCAGCAGUGGGGAAUUUUGGACAAUGGGGGCAACCCUGAUCCAGCAAUGCCGCGUGAGUGAAGAAGGCCUUCGGGUUGUAAAGCUCUUUUGUCAGGGAAGAAACACCGGCUCUAACACAGUCUGGGAAUGACGGUACCUGAAGAAUAAGCACCGGCUAACUACGUGCCAGCAGCCGCCGUAA
RNAcentral lists this ribosomal RNA (501 nucleotides) under uncultured bacterium. RNAcentral's name for it is "partial 16S ribosomal RNA". It matches the Rfam family "Bacterial small subunit ribosomal RNA", at positions 30 to 523 of the family's 1533-position model. The record is from RNAcentral.